This 401-nucleotide ribosomal RNA is filed under the name uncultured bacterium. RNAcentral's name for it is "bacterial SSU rRNA". It matches the Rfam family "Bacterial small subunit ribosomal RNA", at positions 29 to 417 of the family's 1533-position model. The record is from RNAcentral.
AGCGAACGUUAGCGGCGCGCCUAACACAUGCAAGUCGCACGAGAAACGGAGCAAUCCGCGGUACAGUGGCGCACGGGUGAGUAACACGUGGAUGACCUUCCCUGGAGUGGUGGAUAACCUGCCGAAAGGCGGGCUAAUACAGCAUAGGACCACGACGCUUUGGCGAUGUGGUGAAAGCGGGCCUCUAUAUAUAAGCUCGCGCUCCGGGACGGGUCCGCGUCCCAUCAGCUAGUUGGUGAGGUAACGGCUCACCAAGGCAACGACGGGUAGCUGGUCUGAGAGGAUGGCCAGCCACACUGGAACUGAGACACGGUCCAGACUCCUACGGGAGGCAGCAGUGGGGAAUCUUGCGCAAUGGGCGAAAGCCUGACGCAGCGACGCCGCGUGGGCGAAGAAGGCCU